GUGAUCAUACCAACACUAAUGCACCAGAUCCCAUCCGAACUCCGCAGUUAAGCAUGCUUGGGCAAAAAUAGAACUAGGAUGGAUGAUCCCCUUGGAAGUUCUCAUGUUGCAGCUC
Molecule: non-coding RNA, 115 nt
Organism: Ilex paraguariensis (yerba mate)
Lineage: Eukaryota; Viridiplantae; Streptophyta; Magnoliopsida; Aquifoliales; Aquifoliaceae
Source: the annotation of a GenBank genome assembly